UACAGAGGGUGCGAGCGUUAAUCGGAAUUACUGGGCGUAAAGCGCACGUAGGCGGCUUGGUAUGUCGGGUGUGAAAUCCCCGGGCUCAACCUGGGAACUGCAUCCGAAACUGCCUUGCUCGAGUAUGGGAGAGGGGAGCGGAAUUUCCGGUGUAGCGGUGAAAUGCGUAGAUAUCGGAAGGAACAUCAGUGGCGAAGGCGGCUUCCCGGACCAAUAAUGACGAUCAGGUGCGAAAGCGUGGGGAGCAAACAGG
This 253-nucleotide ribosomal RNA is filed under the name uncultured bacterium. RNAcentral describes it as "partial 16S ribosomal RNA". It matches the Rfam family "Bacterial small subunit ribosomal RNA", at positions 524 to 776 of the family's 1533-position model. The record is from RNAcentral.